UACGAAGGGGGCUAGCGUUGCUCGGAAUCACUGGGCGUAAAGCGCACGUAGGCGGAUUGCUAAGUCAGGGGUGAAAUCCUGGAGCUCAACUCCAGAACUGCCCUUGAUACCGGCGGUCUCGAGUCCGGGAGAGGUGAGUGGAACUGCGAGUGUAGAGGUGAAAUUCGUAGAUAUUCGCAAGAACACCAGUGGCGAAGGCGGCUCACUGGCCCGGUACUGACGCUGAGGUGCGAAAGCGUGGGGAGCAAACAGG
RNAcentral lists this ribosomal RNA (253 nucleotides) under uncultured bacterium. RNAcentral's name for it is "partial 16S ribosomal RNA". It matches the Rfam family "Bacterial small subunit ribosomal RNA", at positions 524 to 776 of the family's 1533-position model. The record is from RNAcentral.